UACGGGGGGGGCAAGCGUUGUUCGGAAUUACUGGGCGUAAAGGGCGCGUAGGCGGCCGUUUAAGUCGGGGGUGAAAGCCUGUGGCUCAACCACAGAAUUGCCUUCGAUACUGGACGGCUUGAGACCGGAAGAGGUAAGUGGAACUGCGAGUGUAGAGGUGAAAUUCGUAGAUAUUCGCAAGAACACCAGUGGCGAAGGCGGCUUACUGGUCCGGUUCUGACGCUGAGGCGCGAAAGCGUGGGGAGCAAACAGG
Molecule: ribosomal RNA, 253 nt
Filed under: uncultured bacterium
Lineage: Bacteria
Description: partial 16S ribosomal RNA
Rfam family: Bacterial small subunit ribosomal RNA
Source: RNAcentral